CCCAAUGACGUCUCUAGAAGGCAUCUGAAAGAGAUUAAAGAUUUAUCGGUGAUGGAUGGGGAUGCGUCUGAUUAGCUUGUUGGCGGGGUAACGGCCCACCAAGGCAACGAUCAGUAGGGGUUCUGAGAGGAAGGUCCCCCACAUUGGAACUGAGACACGGUCCAAACUCCUACGGGAGGCAGCAGUGAGGAAUAUUGGUCAAUGGACGAGAGUCUGAACCAGCCAAGUAGCGUGCAGGAAGACGGCCCUAUGGGUUGUAAACUGCUUUUAUAAGGGAAUAAAGUGAGUCUCGUGAGACUUUUUGCAUGUACCUUAUGAAUAAGGACCGGCUAAUUCCGUGCCAGCAGCCGCGGUAAUACGGAAGGUCCGGGCGUUAUCCGGAUUUAUUGGGUUUAAAGGGAGCGUAGGCCGGAGAUUAAGCGUGUUGUGAAAUGUAGACGCUCAACGUCUGCACUGCAGCGCGAACUGGUUUCCUUGAGUACGCACAAAGUGGGCGGAAUUCGUGGUGUAGCGGUGAAAUGCUUAGAUAUCACGAAGAACUCCGAUCGCGAAGGCAGCUCACUGGAGCGCAACUGACGCUGAAGCUCGAAAGUGCGGGUAUCGAACAGGAUUAGAUACCCUGGUAGUCCGCACGGU
RNAcentral lists this ribosomal RNA (636 nucleotides) under uncultured bacterium. Its description in RNAcentral is "bacterial SSU rRNA". It matches the Rfam family "Bacterial small subunit ribosomal RNA", at positions 169 to 803 of the family's 1533-position model. The record is from RNAcentral.